Molecule: long non-coding RNA, 456 nt
Filed under: Bos indicus x Bos taurus (hybrid cattle)
Lineage: Eukaryota; Metazoa; Chordata; Mammalia; Artiodactyla; Bovidae
Description: lncRNA (ENSBIXG00000011865.1)
Source: RNAcentral
GCUACACUUAUAUCCCUGUUGGUUGGAGUACAUAGAAGAGACACAAGUGAGUGGUCUAACUAAUGCUUCUAGGGCUUCAGUAUUUCAGAGAAGGCUUAAAAGGAGAAAAGAAAUGCCCAGUGUAUGCUAAGAAACUGAUAUUUUCUGUCGCUGAUUAAGCCAGGGAAGAAGUGAAGAAAAACUUUGUUUUCUACGUAGAAGCCAACUAAGAAAUCUCUGGGUUUCCAUUCUUCAUAUCUUACAUUAUGAUUAAAUUAUUCCGUAUCAUUUUAGCUGCUCUUCUAAUCUGCACGCUAACUUUGUCUUAUCAAGGCAUCUCUCAGAAGCCUGGAGGAAGUGUGAUCAAAACAGAGAGAGCAGGUUUGUCAGGAAAUUGCUCGGAAGCAAAAGAAGGUAAGUUUCAUUACCCUUUUUACAUCUACUUAUUCACUACUGCUAUUUUUUUACCUUUUCAAU